This 362-nucleotide long non-coding RNA is filed under the name Zostera marina. RNAcentral's name for it is "long non-coding RNA (ZMAR_LNC001483)". The record is from RNAcentral. Lineage: Eukaryota; Viridiplantae; Streptophyta; Magnoliopsida; Alismatales; Zosteraceae.
AAUAAACUUAGAAAUGCAUUUUUGUUGAAUCACCUACGUGCGAAAAAUAAUAUAUAAGAAAUAAAACAUUUGAAUAAUUUGAAAUAGUAAACUAAUUUAAAACUUACAUCUUCAUCCGUUGUUGGACGUAAUUCUUGAAUUUCAUCACUUUUGUAAUAUUCAGACAAGUUUUUCUAUAAAAUAAGUAAUAAGCUAUGAGUAGAUCAAUAAACUACUAUUUAUGAACAUUAUAAAAUAAACUAAAACUUACAACGACUUCGUUGUCAGUUCCAGAAGAACGAAUCAAUACAUUGAUUCGUGAUGCCUCAAUGCCUUCGCUUUGCAGAUUUUCUCUUAUUGCACUGAAAGGAAUUGACCCUGUU